GGGAGGGCCGGGGAUGGUUUCUGGGGGCGGCUGCGGGGGUACGGAGGCGGAGGAGCGGUACCCCGUGGUUCUGCCUUCGCCCCUCGGCUCGGGGAGGGCCGCGGGAGGGAGGAGGGAGCUGCGGAGCGGGGCAGAGGCAUUCCUGCCGCCGCCCCGGGAGCCGAGGCAUCGGAGAAACGGGCAUUUAUAGGUGACGUACGGGCUUACGUGGGAGCUCGUGCCCAGCACCGCUCUCCCAGCGCCGUUUCUACUGACACGACACCUUCCCGCAGCGCGCACCCCCCUUUUCCAGGCUGGGGGGGGGGGGGGAGGGUUGGGGGGGAGCGGGAGGGGACAGCAAAAGGGAAAAGAAAAGCGGCCCUUUCGUAUCCCGCUCGGGAGACGAGCCCCGGAGCUCCGAAAGUGAGCGGAGGGCGAUGGAGGGCGGCGGGGAGCGGGCCGGGACGCGUCCCCGUGCUCCGAGAGCGGGGCGAAGCGGCGGGGGAGGCGGGCAGCGCAGGAACGCGCCCGGGGACCGCAGCGCCUUCAGCUCCCGGAGCCGCGGGCACCGCUCGGGUGAAUCGGGGAUGAAACGUGGGAGAAAUGCGGGAGGGGAGGCGAGAAAAGGUCGGGAGCGAAGUGAGGCUGUGAGAGCGGAGGGGGAUUUGUGAAAUAGAUAGAUAUGUGGAUAAUCAUUUUUCUCUUUCCUCGCUCUGCAAAAGCUGCAGGCGAAACGCUAAAUGUAUAAUUGUGUAAAGGGGAAUAUAAGGAUGAGAAAAAUGGAGGGGGAGCGGAGGAAGGAAGAGAGGGAAGGAGAGAAAGGCACGCGGCACCGCCGUGCUCGUGUCCUGAGUUCGGCCGGAGCUCACGGGCGGGAUGCUGCGGGCACAGCACGGCACGGCCCGGCCUGACCGUCGGGGCGGCACGGACGGCACGGCCCGGUAUCGCACGGCCCGGCCCGGCCCGCUGGAGGGACCCUCUGCCUCUUUCUCCCUUUCUGCCGCCUCCCCCCACGGAAAGCUCGUGGUUCUGCUCUGCCCGACGGCUGCGGUGCCGCACCGCACCGUGCCGUGACGAGCUGUGCUGUGCUGUGCUGGGCUGGGCUGUGCUGGGCUAUGCUGGGCUGUGCUGUGCUGCGCUGGGCUGUGCUGGGCUAUGUUGGGCUGUGCUGUGCUGGGCUGGGCUGUGCUGUGCUGUGCCGGGCCGUGCAGUGCCGUGCAGUGCCGGGCCGUGCCGUGCCGCUCCGGGGAGCCUCGCGGACUUUCAGCACUUGGACAGCGGUGCGGGAGCCGGGCCGUGCCGGGCUGUGCCGGGAGGGUCGGGGGGAGCGCGCGCAGUGAUGCUCCGUACGGCGGAGGCAAUGGGGAGGCGGCGUUCCUUCCUGAACGCCGGGCGUGGGGACACGGCCGAGGGGGCUCCGGGGAGCACCCCUGGAGGGGUACCUCGCCCCGACCCCCCCGCAGCUGGAAGAAAGCUCCGGGAGGCGCAGCCGUGCCCCGGCGGUGCGCCGCGGCCCCGCAGAGGGCACGGGGCCCCGAGGGGGCGGCAGAGGGCGGCUCGAUGGGGUGUGGGGGGAGAGCCCCCUUUCCCCCAUCUUCGGGGGGUAAUUAGGGGUGACACGGAGGGGCUGCGGUUUCUGCUCGGUGGAGCUGCCGGCGACCAACCCCCGCCGCCGCCGCCUUCCUCCCGUCCUCCUCCUCUCACCCUCCCUCCUUCCCUCCCCCCGCCUUCUCCCCUCCCCCUCUCCCUCCUCCUCCUCUCCGCCAUGGUUGGAGUGAAUCGGAGGCUGCCGGGCUGACGUCAGUGCGGGCAGAGCCUGCCGCCGGCGGCAGCUCCUGGACACCGACCAGAACCGGCACCGGCAGCAGCCGGCAGGACGCGAAGAGCCCGGGCACCGCCGCCCCCCGCACCGGGGGUACCGGGGGCGCCGGGGGCAGAGCCCUGCCCGCCCCGCCGCUCUCCCUCCGGGAAGGGCGGCCCCCGCCGCCCGCUUCGCCCACGGACGGCCCCGUCGCUGCCCUCGCCUCGGCUGCAAGCAGCUGACUGCGAGUUCGUGGAGCGGGAUGCCUUGGGAAGGGAUGGGACAUCUCCACCUGAGCGAGGAGAGGCCCCUGGAGCAGAACGGAGGUGUAAUGCUGAGGAGCUGCAGGGCAGAGCACAGCUUUGGUCACUUUGGAGUUGGAGAUCUUGAGCCGGGGAGGAGAUCCCAGUGAGGGGAGAAGGGAUGUCCCCAGCCUGACAGCUCCUUCCUGGCUGCGCUCUGCCCGCUCUCUGCCCGAUGUCUCCGGGAUUCUCCAGGAGGGACCCAACCUGCCGUGGCCCCAGCAAGAGGCAGCAUUGGCUGCUGGACGUGGAGGGGUUCUGCAUUGCUUCGCACCUGUGGGGAGGGAGCCAGGGGAUGGGGAGCCUGGCAAAAAUCCCGUGUAACUCCUGUAUGUCACCUCCAGGACCCAAAUACCCCUGGGCAGAGAGGUGUGAGCACCGUCCCAGCUGGGUGUGGGGAUGUUGGUGGGAGCAGGAGGGAGGUCUGAGUGGGAUGGAUGCCAUGUUAAGGGGCUCUGCUCAUGGAGCAGAGCUUGGCCUACGCUGUGCGUGUGUGCGUGAUGGACUGAGCGUGGGCUGACCACGCCUGGUCCAGGCGGUGUUCCAUUGCACUGUAAGAAAAAAGCACUGUAAUUCCUCCCUAAUUAAAAUCAACCCCACCCCGUGCACUGUUGCAAAUAAACACUCCUUUCUGCAAAAGCGAGCUGUGUGAUGUGGUGCAGUACUGAGACGGAG
RNAcentral lists this long non-coding RNA (2757 nucleotides) under Gallus gallus (chicken). Its description in RNAcentral is "lncRNA (ENSGALG00010020663.1)". Lineage: Eukaryota; Metazoa; Chordata; Aves; Galliformes; Phasianidae. The record is from RNAcentral.